RNAcentral lists this ribosomal RNA (547 nucleotides) under uncultured bacterium. Its description in RNAcentral is "bacterial SSU rRNA". It matches the Rfam family "Bacterial small subunit ribosomal RNA", at positions 851 to 1398 of the family's 1533-position model. The record is from RNAcentral.
GCGAAAGCGUUAAGCAUUCCACCUGGGGAGUACGCCGGCAACGGUGAAACUCAAAGGAAUUGACGGGGGCCCGCACAAGCGGAGGAACAUGUGGUUUAAUUCGAUGAUACGCGAGGAACCUUACCCGGGCUCAAACGUAUGACGGCGUAGUUGGAAACAGCUAUUCCCUUCGGGGCGUCAUACGAGGUGCUGCAUGGUUGUCGUCAGCUCGUGCCGUGAGGUGUCGGCUUAAGUGCCAUAACGAGCGCAACCCCUACCGACAGUUGCUAACAAGUAGCGUUGAGGACUCUGUCGGGACUGCCGGCGCAAGCUGCGAGGAAGGUGGGGAUGACGUCAAAUCAGCACGGCCCUUACGUCCGGGGCGACACACGUGUUACAAUGGCAGGUACAGCGGGAAGCCAUGCGGCGACGCAGAGCAGAACCCGAAAACCUGUCUCAGUUCGGAUUGGAGUCUGCAACUCGACUCCAUGAAGCUGGAUUCGCUAGUAAUCGCGCAUCAGCCAUGGCGCGGUGAAUACGUUCCCGGGCCUUGUACACACCGCCCGUC